GUGUUUACUUUGGCAGCACAUAUACUAACCUAGAAUAAUACAGAGAAGAAUUAGCAUGGCUCCUCUUUCACAAGGAUGACAUGCAAAGUUAUGAAGUAUUCCAUAUAUUA
Small nuclear RNA from Cavia aperea (Brazilian guinea pig), 110 nucleotides. The record is from Ensembl. NCBI's taxonomy places the organism in Eukaryota, Metazoa, Chordata, Mammalia, Rodentia, Caviidae.